GACGAACGCUGGCGGCGCGCCUAACACAUGCAAGUCGAACGAGCGAGAGAGAGCUUGCUUUCUCGAGCGAGUGGCGAACGGGUGAGUAACGCGUGAGGAACCUGCCUCGGAGUGGGGAAUAACAGACCGAAAGGCCUGCUAAUACCGCAUGAUACAGUUGGGUCGCAUGACUCUGACUGUCAAAGAUUUAUCGCUCUGAGAUGGCCCCCGCGUCUGAUUAGCUGGUUGGCGGGGUAACGGCCCACCAAGGCGACGAUCAGUAGCCGGACUGAGAGGUUGAACGGCCACAUUGGGACUGAGAUACGGCCCAG
This 311-nucleotide ribosomal RNA is filed under the name uncultured bacterium. RNAcentral describes it as "bacterial SSU rRNA". It matches the Rfam family "Bacterial small subunit ribosomal RNA", at positions 28 to 334 of the family's 1533-position model. The record is from RNAcentral.